ACGGGUGAGUAACGCGUGGGAACGUACCCUUUACUACGGAAUAACGCAUGGAGACGUGUGCUAAUACCGUAUGUGCCCUAUUGGGGAAAGAUUUAUCGGUAAAGGAUCGGCCCGCGUUGGAUUAGCUAGUUGGUGGGGUAAAGGCCUACCAAGGUGACGAUCCAUAGCUGGUCUGAGAGGAUGAUCAGCCACAUUGGGACUGAGACACGGCCCAAACUCCUACGGGAGGCAGCAGUGGGGAAUAUUGGACAAUGGGCGCAAGCCUGAUCCAGCCAUGCCGCGUGAGUGAUGAAGGCCUUAGGGUUGUAAAGCUCUUUCACCGGAGAAGAUAAUGACGGUAUCCGGAGAAGAAGCCCCGGCUAACUUCGUGCCAGCAGCCGCGGUAAUACGAAGGGGGCUAGCGUUGUUCGGAUUUACUGGGCGUAAAGCGCACGUAGGCGGAUCGAUCAGUCAGGGGUGAAAUCCCAGAGCUCAACUCUGGAACUGCCUUUGAUACUGUCGAUCUGGAGUAUGGAAGAGGUGAGUGGAAUUCCGAGUGUAGAGGUGAAAUUCGUAGA
RNAcentral lists this ribosomal RNA (557 nucleotides) under uncultured bacterium. RNAcentral describes it as "bacterial SSU rRNA". It matches the Rfam family "Bacterial small subunit ribosomal RNA", at positions 102 to 694 of the family's 1533-position model. The record is from RNAcentral.